RNAcentral lists this ribosomal RNA (461 nucleotides) under uncultured bacterium. RNAcentral describes it as "partial 16S ribosomal RNA". It matches the Rfam family "Bacterial small subunit ribosomal RNA", at positions 338 to 795 of the family's 1533-position model. The record is from RNAcentral.
CCUACGGGUGGCAGCAGUGAGGGAUAUUGGUCAAUGGGCGGGAGCCUGAACCAGCCAAGUCGCGUGAGGGAAGACGGUCCUAUGGAUUGUAAACCUCUUUAGGCGGGGAGCAAUGCCGGGCACGUGUGCCCGGAGGGAGAGUACCCGCAGAAUAAGCAUCGGCUAACUCCGUGCCAGCAGCCGCGGUAAUACGUAGGUGGCAAGCGUUGUCCGGAUUUACUGGGUGUAAAGGGCGUGUAGCCGGGCUGACAAGUCAGAUGUGAAAUUCCGGGGCUCAACCCCGGACCUGCAUUUGAAACUGUUGGUCUUGAGUAUCGGAGAGGCAGGCGGAAUUCCUAGUGUAGCGGUGAAAUGCGUAGAUAGUAGGAGGAACACCAGUGGCGAAGGCGGCCUGCUGGACGACAACUGACGGUGAGGCGCGAAAGCGUGGGGAGCAAACAGGAUUAGAUACCCCUGUAGUC